UAACGNGUGAGGAACCUGCCUUUNNNAGGGGGACAACAGUUGGAAACGACUGCUAAUACCGCAUGACGCAUUUUGAUCGCAUGGUCGAAAUGCCNAANAUUUAUCGCUGAAAGAUGGCCUCGCGUCUGAUUAGCUAGUUGGUGAGGUAACGGCCCACCAAGGCGACGAUCANUAGCCGGACUGAGAGGUUGACCGGCCACAUUGGGACUGANAUACGGCCCAGACUCCUACGGGAGGCAGCAGUGGGGAAUAUUGGGCAAUGGGCGCAAGCCUGACCCAGCAACGCCGCGUGAAGGAAGAAGGCUUUCGGGUUGUAAACUUCUUUUAAGUNNGAAGAGUAGAAGACGGUACCACUUGAAUAAGCCACGGCUAAAUACNUGCCANCAGCCGCGGUAAUACGUAUGGUGCANGNGUUAUCCGGAUUUNCUGGGUGUAAAGGGAGCGUANACGGCUGUGUAAGUCUGAAGUGAAAGCCCGGGGNUCAACCCCGGNACUGCUUUGGAAACUAUGCAGCUAGAGUGUCGGAGAGGUAGUGGAAUUUCCCAGUGUAGCGGUGAAAUGCGUAAAUAUUGNNAGGAACACCAGUGGNCAUNGCGGCUUACUGGACGAUGACUGACGUUGAGGCUCGAAAGCGUGAGGGAGCAACAGGAUUAGAUAUCCUGGUA
RNAcentral lists this ribosomal RNA (665 nucleotides) under uncultured bacterium. RNAcentral's name for it is "partial 16S ribosomal RNA". It matches the Rfam family "Bacterial small subunit ribosomal RNA", at positions 111 to 792 of the family's 1533-position model. The record is from RNAcentral.